UAGUAUAGCAUUAUACCGCGAAACUGCGAAUGGCUCAUUAAAUCAGUUAUCGUUUAUUUGAUAGUACCUUACUACUUGGAUAACCGUGGUAAUUCUAGAGCUAAUACAUGCUAAAAAUCCCGACUCACGGAGGGAUGUAUUUAUUAGAUUAAAAACCAAUGCCCUUCGGGGCUCCUUGGUGAUUCAUAAUAACUUCUCGAAUCGCAUGGCCUUGUGCCGGCGAUGGUUCAUUCAAAUUUCUGCCCUAUCAACUUUCGAUGGCAGGGUCUUGGCCUGCCAUGGUUACAACGGGUAACGGAGGGUUAGGGCUCGACCCCGGAGAAGGAGCCUGAGAAACGGCUACUACAUCCAAGGAAGGCAGCAGGCGCGCAAAUUACCCAAUCCCGAUUCGGGGAGGUAGUGACAAUAAAUACUGAUACAGGGCUCUUUCGGGUCUUGUAAUUGGAAUGAGUACAAUUUAAAUCCCUUAACGAGGAACAAUUGGAGGGCAAGUCUGGUGCCAGCAGCCGCGGUAAUUCCAGCUCCAAUAGCGUAUAUUAAAGUUGUUGCAGUUAAAAAGCUCGUAGUUGAACCUUGGGCCUGGCUGGCCGGUCCGCCUCACCGCGUGCACUGGUUCGGCCGGGCCUUUCCCUCUGGGGAUCCUCAUGCCCUUCACUGGGUGUGCUGGGGAACCAGGACUUUUACUGUGAAAAAAUUAGAGUGUUCAAAGCAGGCCUAUGCUCGAAUACAUUAGCAUGGAAUAAUAGAAUAGGACGUGCGGUUCUAUUUUGUUGGUUUCUAGGACCGCCGUAAUGAUUAAUAGGGACAGUCGGGGGUGUCAGUAUUCAAUUGUCAGAGGUGAAAUUCUUGGAUUUAUUGAAGACUAACUACUGCGAAAGCAUUCACCAAGGAUGUUUUCAUUAAUCAGGAACGAAAGUUAGGGGAUCGAAGACGAUCAGAUACCGUCGUAGUCUUAACCAUAAACUAUGCCGACUAGGGAUCGGACGAUGUUAUUUUUUGACUCGUUCGGCACCUUACGAGAAAUCAAAGUCUUUGGGU
Molecule: ribosomal RNA, 1038 nt
Filed under: Diatrypella heveae
Lineage: Eukaryota; Fungi; Ascomycota; Sordariomycetes; Xylariales; Diatrypaceae
Description: SSU rRNA
Rfam family: Eukaryotic small subunit ribosomal RNA
Source: RNAcentral